UGGAGAUGGAAUUCUCAUAUCCAGCAGGCACCAGGCUAGUUAUGGAUCUGUUCUUGUCACGUGCAUGCACAUGCAAUAGGACACAGAUUAAGCAUUUGGGCCUUCAACCAAGUUGAUGAUGAACAGAUUACUCAGUAAUCUCAGAAGCCAUUUAAAAUUGUGAUACAAAGCCUGGCGGAAGAACUUUCUGUGGUGCUCCUGCGGCAAUCCCAUGCUGCUCAAAGAUCAACCCUUUUUGACCAUUUCAUAGAUGAAAAGCCUGUGCACAAUAAACCACACAACGUCAAGUGCAGACAAUACCCCCUUGCAGCAAUGCCUCGACAUGGAAUCGGUAAUUUUUCAAAAUCAAAGACGCUGAAAAGAAUACACGAACUUGUGA
Populus euphratica (Euphrates poplar) is the source of this 379-nucleotide long non-coding RNA. RefSeq lists it as uncharacterized. The record is from RefSeq and is a predicted model, not a curated record. The transcript has 3 exons. NCBI's taxonomy places the organism in Eukaryota, Viridiplantae, Streptophyta, Magnoliopsida, Malpighiales, Salicaceae.